GAAAUACUCCCUCCGUCCAAAGAUACUUGUCGAAGAAAUAGAUGUAUCUAGAUGUAUUUUAGUUCUAGAUACAUUCAUUUUUAUGCAUUUUUUUGACAAGUAUUUUUGAACGGAGAGAGCAGAUA
This is a non-coding RNA of Triticum aestivum (bread wheat), 125 nucleotides long. Lineage: Eukaryota; Viridiplantae; Streptophyta; Magnoliopsida; Poales; Poaceae. The record is from Rfam.